This 234-nucleotide ribosomal RNA is filed under the name uncultured bacterium. RNAcentral describes it as "partial 16S ribosomal RNA". It matches the Rfam family "Bacterial small subunit ribosomal RNA", at positions 99 to 334 of the family's 1533-position model. The record is from RNAcentral.
CGGACGGGUGAGUAAUGCUUGGGGAAGUCUGGCUUAUGGAGGGGGAUAACUACGGGAAACUGUAGCUAAUACCGCGUAAUAUCGAAAGAUUAAAGUGUGGGACCUUCGGGCCACAUGCCAUAGGAUGAGCCCAAGUGGGAUUAGGUAGUUGGUGAGGUAAAGGCUCACCAAGCCGACGAUCUCUAGCUGGUCUGAGAGGAUGACCAGCCACACUGGGACUGAGACACGGCCCAG